Pseudophryne corroboree (corroboree frog) is the source of this 4419-nucleotide long non-coding RNA. RefSeq lists it as uncharacterized. The transcript has 3 exons. The record is from RefSeq and is a predicted model, not a curated record. Lineage: Eukaryota; Metazoa; Chordata; Amphibia; Anura; Myobatrachidae.
GGAUUCCCUCGGCAUGAAAGGGGAGCGAUGUGUGGAAUCUGCUGCUAGGCACAUUUACAUGGCGCCUUCUAACAGUCGCCAGACAACAAGAUGGACCUGGCCUGGGCGCUCUCCUGCACUGCUGCUGCCCCUGGGGUGGGGGGAGAGGAGUCACUCGGGACCGUCCUUAGGUGGUGUCUAAUGAUGGAAAUGGGGGGUAAAAGGGCAGCUGCCCCCUCCAUUAUAUCCCCACAGCCAGCUCUUCCCGAGCUGGAGCCGCCAAUCACAGGUCGGCUUCCAUUUUGUGUUACCCCUGGGAGUAUUGGGGGGGGGGGGGGAUAUACCCGUACGGGCAGCUCGCAGACACGACCACCACAGAGUACCGGUAUUAGGCGAGCGGCUGGCUGCGUGUUAUACAGCCGGUACUACAGGGUGUGCUGCCGGCCUGUGGGGAGCGUCUGCCAUUGCACCGCACACACCGUGACACCCGGACGCCUGCAAGAGCUGUUCUAUGCACACUGCACAGAUCUACGCUGAGGCUGAGCAGGGAGGGGGUAGACGAGGCUGCCCUGGGUGGGGGGCGGGGGGUGUCCCCGGCCGUGGUCCGGGCCACAGUGACGUAAUGGGCUGGCAGAGAGACUCUCCCUAGGCUGCGGCCAAUCAGCGCGCAGCUUGCAUCCGCCUCUGAGUUAUUACCGUACUCUGCAGACAAUCCUUCAGCAGACAGCAGCAGCCAAGGAGAGCACGCAGGCUGCAGCUAUUACCCAGCCCUGGGAUGCAAUGGCCAACUGUGUGCACACUGACUCUGGCUGUUCCUCCUUUGUUGCAAACAAGGGAUCCUUGUAAUUGAACCAACCAGUACCUCUCAGGACUCAGCUCUGUUUACUUUUUGAAAAGAGGAGUUCUUGUGUAACACGCCUAAUGCAAGAUCAUAUACGUAAGGAACUUGUAUACCGACCUAACUCCAGCAAUCUGCAGGUUUGAAACAACACAAAUGGAAUGUAUGUUACUGAAACUACAAAGCAGAAACAUAAACAAAGGUUCAAAAGGAAAGUGGCCUAAAUUCCAUAGCAAGUGAUACUGAAAACAAAGUUGUACCCUUUAGGAGCGAGCCUAUAAAGACAACCUAUAUGUCCUGAAACAUGUUUUUGUCUGGUCUUUUUCAGUACAGCAUGUUGUUUUGAGUCCUUUGUAGCUUGUUUCAGAGUCAGUGUACAGAGAUAGAAGAGGGGAUAAAACCAGAAUUACUGGGUGUGUUCCUGCAUUAUCAGGAUAGUGACAUAUCAAAUAUGUGAGUCAGGCUGUAGUGCUAGAUAUCCACUACUCUGGUUAUAGACAAAUACAAACCGGUAUAACCAGAAAGAUUUUGUGUUAAGUCGUUUUUCCUUCUAUUAUUUGGUUAUUUCAGGCCAACACCAUUGAAUGAAAAAAGAGACCCAUAGAAAUGUAAAUAGCUUGCUGAGUAAUGUGUGCAUACUGCCAUGCUGGUAUGUCUUUAAUGUUUGCCUUUUGGCCAAAUAAAAGAAACACAUAUUUUUGCUAGUGCUUGUUACAUAACUGGCAAAUGUAAACAUAUUUAUAGUUUGAAAUGUACUUAAUUUUAUAGUUGCUAUUCUGCAUUAUUGAACUUUCUAAUGCAAUGCAGAACAUUUUGCCAGUGCCUUAAACAUCACUUCUGGUAACCAUGUCUACCUUGUCCAAGUAGGAGUAAAUUUACUAAGAAUAGAUUUUCUAAACUCACAAUUUUUGCCAAUUCUGCUAUAUUUAAAAGAGCAAGAAUAGUAAGUGCACAAUCAGGCUUGUUUUGCAUUCAAUAUUAUUGUCCUUUUAAAUCUGGUAGGCAAAAUCGUCAAAUCCUAGAUUUUGAUCCAUUGCUUUGUAAAUAUACUCAUUAUUUUUCUACACCGAGUGAGAGAGAACUUUACAGUAUAUUUCAAUUGUCCACUGUUGUGAAAAUGGUUUUCAUGAGUUGAAUUUAGUUUGCCCAUAGAAUCUUAUCUGUACAACUAUCUAACCAGCAUUUGUUGGAGUUUAAAUUUGAGUGUAUUUGCAUCUGCAAAAUCCUAUUGAAAUACAGCAUUUGACUGAGGUACAAAAACAUCCACUUAAUCUGGCCUAUUCUUGUAGGCCGAACCAAGCAAUGGAAUGCUUGUUGAAAUAUUCAUUUCCACAGGGAGCAUCAGUUUCCUUCCACACUCCAAAGAUAAUACAGCGGGUCAAUUGUUUUCUGACAAAAUUAACCUGUGUGUGUGUUAUGGGGGAUGGACUGAUGUGAGUGAUUACAUAGUCUCCAGGAAGUGCUACAUAAUACUUUGCAACUAUAUAAAUCACCUAAUUAAAGACUAUUUAUAUUAACAUUUACUUGUAUAUUACCAACCUUGUUGUGCUUUACAAUUGGAGUUUUGCUGCUUAUAUGAUAAAAUGUGCAUAAACAGCAUUUAAAUAAUGUGUACAUUCUUUACUCAUCAGUUAUCGAUGCUCAUUUAAGGUAGUGUUAAUGGGCAUUUGGCAUAAAUAUGCACUAUUGCACUGGAUUCUCAACAACACCAAAAAGGCCAGUUACCUAUGCUCCAUUUGGGAAGCAUAAGAGGGCCAUGAUAGGAGGGUCAAUGAGCAGAAUUAAGUAAUUGUUCCGAAAACUGCUAUUUUUAUAGGCGAUGGAUGGCUCUGAGAGGCUAACAGGUGUAUAUCAUCCAGUGCACUUUAUAGUUAAUCUCGCCAGUGUAUGGGGAUUGUAUAUAGCACCGCCUCCAUGUCGGCAGAAUAUAUGAGCUGUAAGACUUCACAAGAGUAAUUGUAACUAGGGAUUAUCCAUAAGUGUCUGUUAUUGUACAUAUUAAACUGUAGCUGCAGUACUUAUACUUGACUGAGGGAGCAAAAUGUGCACGCCGUAGUGCAGAAGACUGAAAGAAGGAUUUUUUUUUUCUUGCUGACUGAUCUGGGGAAGGAAGGGUGUAUGAAAUAGGAGCCUCUUGCAGCUCAACUAAACAUAACCUUCAACAAACACAGGCACAGCUUAAUAUUUUCUCUGCAAGUGAAACUAAAAUGAAGGAACAUCUCUCUCCCUUUUUACGCUUCUGGAUUUGGCAAGUAGCCUUACUAUUACCUUAUGCGUACAACAGCUGCUUCCUUUCUGUGAUUGGACAGUAAUUAUACAUGUAUAUAUUAAAUUGAAAAUCGCUAAAAUAAAGUUGGCACUCUGUAGGGUACUGACAAUUCUUUCUGUUCAAUAUCUUAAUCCAAUAGUACAUAUAUGUUCAUGUAAUAUUCCAGUUUGUACUGAAUCCAAGAGACAAAUGCUACUGGUGUAAAUUCUGUAAUAAGUAGAUAGUGUGGCUUUAGAAUCUGUAGGUUGUUCUUUAAUUGUUCUAAGUCCAAACCAUGUCCUGUGUAUCAUUACAUCCAUGAGUCCAUCCAAACUGAGCCUUGUGCUGUGUAUUCAUAGGGCUUCCUUUGGUAGGCUUUGGUUGAACAGCAAUAGCUCUAACAUUGUUUUGUCUUCAUUUAUAUGGAGAGUAUGACUAGUUUCUAUAACUAUGUAUAGCGUGGCUAACUGCUAUUACUAUUGGUUUUUGAUUGAGCUGAAUGUUGUCCCUUACUGAAUACAUUACACUUGAUGACAAAUAGAGGGACUUGCUCCCUGUGGAGAAUGAUAUAUUGAGAGGGAAUUGGCCACAGAAAAUUGCCUACUCUAACAAUGUAUUAUUUGAAAUGAGCAGUACAUUGUACCACAUGCCAUGGGUACAUAACCGAAGAUCUUUGGCUAUUGCAGAAUUGGCCCAGACCCUGUUAAUGCAGUAUCCUCUGAAGGUGAAGACCCAACACUGUAGGUCUGGGAUCCUCUUUUACUGCUGCAUGUCUCAUUAAAAACAGCGUUACUGUCUGUUGCGAAGGGGCAGUUCAGUGGGGAGAUUCACCACUAACACUAGUGUAAAUUAAGCAAGCAGUUUCAAGAUCGAACACCAGAGCAUUGAACCAAUUAUUAAUGUUAUGAAAAUAAUUAAGCAGCAAUUGUUUGCCAGGCAUAUUAAGAUUUCCAGAUGAUUGGUGACAUUGAGAGGCUGAUGAGGCUGAUCGCAUAGCAAAGCUCAGCAGUACUUGGGGAACUGUAUAUAGAAUACGGAUAUACUUGUAAGUGUAAUAUCCUGACUUGCUGUAUAAAUUUUUGUCCCCAGUUGUAAAGCUUCACAGAGUAUGCUAGUGCUACAUGAAUAAAUGAUAAGAAAUAUUGUAUAAGUAGCCGUGCCAUUACUCUCUGCUUGUAUAUUAUACCCCUUUCACACUGCACAAAUAACCCGGUAUAUUGCCAGGUCGAUGUGUGGUGACAACUACGGGUCACACCUGGUAAUUGUACACUGGUCCUUUCCGGGUGCGACCCACCAUGAGACCCCUUUCAGACUGGCAAUGUGACCCUGCAAUAUACAUUGUACACUGGUCCGU